Molecule: transfer RNA, 84 nt
Filed under: Malassezia globosa
Lineage: Eukaryota; Fungi; Basidiomycota; Malasseziomycetes; Malasseziales; Malasseziaceae
Also listed under: 1 other name
Description: tRNA-Leu
Rfam family: tRNA
About the family: Transfer RNA (tRNA) molecules are approximately 80 nucleotides in length. Their secondary structure includes four short double-helical elements and three loops (D, anti-codon, and T loops). Further hydrogen bonds mediate the characteristic L-shaped molecular structure. tRNAs have two regions of fundamental functional importance: the anti-codon, which is responsible for specific mRNA codon recognition, and the 3' end, to which the tRNAs corresponding amino acid is attached (by aminoacyl-tRNA synthetases). tRNAs cope with the degeneracy of the genetic code in two manners: having more than one tRNA (with a specific anti-codon) for a particular amino acid; and 'wobble' base-pairing, i.e. permitting non-standard base-pairing at the 3rd anti-codon position.
Source: RNAcentral
GGCCGAGUAGCAAAGUGGUUACUGCGACGGCUUUAGGUCCUGCUAUUCCGCCGUUACUCGUGGGUUCGAACCCCACCUUGGUCA